AAAGGGAAGAACAAACCUGUUUUCAACAAGCCUACCAAGACUACUACCUUCAAGAAGAAGAAGUUCAACAAGGCUGAGCUAGAGUGCUACGCCUGUGGGAAGCCUGGACACUUUUCCAAGGAAUGCCCUGAACGUGCAGACCGCAGAGGGAAAACAAGCUCCAAGACUGUCAACAUGGUGACCGCUAGCAAUACUGAUGGGUCGCAAGGGAUUCUUCCGUCCUAAUGGGGAAUGGGUCACAUGCUUCUGUUCGUGGCAUUGGCACGGUGGAUCUGAAGUUUACUUCAGGAAAGAUCGUGCAACUAAGGAACGUGCAGCAUGUCCCUACUAUGAACAAGAAUCUAGUUAGCGGCUCCCUUCUAUGUCGAGAUGGAUUUAAGGUAGUUUUAGAGUCCAAUAAAGUAAUCGUGUCAAGAUUUGGACAAUUUAUAGGAAAAGGCUAUGAGUGCGGAGGCUUGUUCCGCUUUUCUCUUUCAGAUUUUUGCAAUAAGUCAAUAAACCAAAUUUGUGCUAGUGUUAAUGAUGAUGCAAGUA
Molecule: non-coding RNA, 534 nt
Organism: Triticum urartu
Lineage: Eukaryota; Viridiplantae; Streptophyta; Magnoliopsida; Poales; Poaceae
Source: RefSeq, a predicted model, not a curated record